This 212-nucleotide unclassified non-coding RNA is filed under the name uncultured Agaricales. Its description in RNAcentral is "sequence contains ITS2". The record is from RNAcentral. Lineage: Eukaryota; Fungi; Basidiomycota; Agaricomycetes; Agaricales.
AAUUCUCAACUUCAAAAACUUGUUUUGAAAGCUUGGAUGUUGGAGGUUUGCAGGCAAAUUGUAUUGUCAGCUCCUCUCAAAUGCAUUAGCAGAACUUUUUCAAAGGAUCGGCUUUGGUUUGAUAAUCCUAUCUAUGCCAUCGCUGGGACGCAGUUUUGUAGUUCAGCUUAUAAUCGUCCUUUUGGGACUGUCUCGCGAGAGGCAUGAUUUAA